RNAcentral lists this ribosomal RNA (641 nucleotides) under Histoplasma capsulatum var. duboisii. RNAcentral's name for it is "eukaryotic LSU rRNA". It matches the Rfam family "Eukaryotic large subunit ribosomal RNA", at positions 1 to 651 of the family's 3401-position model. Lineage: Eukaryota; Fungi; Ascomycota; Eurotiomycetes; Onygenales; Ajellomycetaceae. The record is from RNAcentral.
AGGUGACCUCGGAUCAGGUAGGGAUACCCGCUGAACUUAAGCAUAUCAAUAAGCGGAGGAAAAGAAACCAACAGGGAUUGCCUCAGUAACGGCGAGUGAAGCGGCAAGAGCUCAAAUUUGAAAUCCGGCCCCCCUGGGGGCCUGAGUUGUAAUUUGCAGAGGAUGCUUCGGGCGCGACCGCGGUCCAAGUCCCCUGGAACGGGGCGUCGUAGAGGGUGAGAAUCCCGUCUCCGGCCGGCCGGUCUCGCCCGUGUGAAGCUCCUUCGACGAGUCGAGUUGUUUGGGAAUGCAGCUCCAAAUGGGUGGUAAAUUUCAUCUAAAGCUAAAUACUGGUCGGAGACCGAUAGCGCACAAGUAGAGUGAUCGAAAGAUGAAAAGCACUUUGAAAAGAGAGUUAAACAGCAUGUGAAAUUGUUGAAAGGGAAGCGCUUGCGACCAGAGUCGGCCGUGGGGGUUCAGCGGGCAUUCGUUGCCCGUGCAAUCCCCCGCGGCCGGGCCAGCGUCGGUUUCGACGGCCGGUCAAAGGCCCCCGGAAUGUGUCGCCUCUCGGGGCGUCUUAUAGCCGGGGGUGCAAUGCGGCCAGUCGGGACCGAGGAACGCGCUCCGGCACGGACGCUGGCUUAAUGGUCGUCAGCGACCCG